Molecule: ribosomal RNA, 517 nt
Filed under: Arthronema africanum acuf1
Lineage: Bacteria; Bacillati; Cyanobacteriota; Cyanophyceae; Leptolyngbyales; Leptolyngbyaceae
Description: bacterial SSU rRNA
Rfam family: Bacterial small subunit ribosomal RNA
Source: RNAcentral
UAACGCGUGAGAAUCUGCCUUCAGGUCGGGGAUAACGACUGGAAACGGUCGCUAAUACCGGAUGUGCCGAGAGGUGAAAGCUUAAUGUGCCUGAAGAUGAGCUCGCGUCCGAUUAGCUAGUUGGUGGGGUAAGAGCCUACCAAGGCGGUGAUCGGUAGCUGGUUUGAGAGGAUGAUCAGCCACACUGGGACUGAGACACGGCCCAGACUCCUACGGGAGGCAGCAGUGGGGAAUUUUCCGCAAUGGGCGCAAGCCUGACGGAGCAAUACCGCGUGCGGGAGGAAGGCUUUUGGGUCGUAAACCGCUUUUAUUGGGGAAGAAGAUCUGACGGUACCCAAUGAAUCAGCAUCGGCUAACUCCGUGCCAGCAGCCGCGGUAAUACGGAGGAUGCAAGCGUUAUCCGGAAUUAUUGGGCGUAAAGCGUCCGCAGGUGGCUGGUCAAGUCUGCUGUUAAAGCGUAGAGCUUAACUCUAUAUCGGCAGUGGAAACUGGACAGCUAGAGUACGGUAGGGGUAGC